CCCCUUUCAGGGUCGCAUCUGGAGAGUUUCCAGUACUCUACCAGUCAUGACUACAACAGGGAGAGUCAAGCAGAGGCAUCCCUAUUUCAUUCCUAGCUUAGGCAGUGGCUAGCAAGGGGAAGGCAAUCUGCUACAAGU
Molecule: small nucleolar RNA, 138 nt
Organism: Ornithorhynchus anatinus (platypus)
Lineage: Eukaryota; Metazoa; Chordata; Mammalia; Monotremata; Ornithorhynchidae
Source: RefSeq, a predicted model, not a curated record